Molecule: ribosomal RNA, 581 nt
Filed under: uncultured Rhizophagus
Lineage: Eukaryota; Fungi; Glomeromycota; Glomeromycetes; Glomerales; Glomeraceae
Description: LSU rRNA
Rfam family: Eukaryotic large subunit ribosomal RNA
Source: RNAcentral
CAUGGAGGGUGAGAAUCCCGUCCGGUUGAUCAUUUGCGUUUUACGAUACGCUCUCUAAGAGUCAAGUUGUUUGGGAUUGCAGCUUAAAAUGGGAGGUAAAUUUCUCCUAAGGCUAAAUAACGGCGAGAGACCGAUAGCGAACAAGUACCGUGAGGGAAAGAUGAAAAGAACUUUGAAAAGAGAGUUAAACAGUACGUGAAAUUGUUGAAAGGGAAACGAUUGAAGCCAGUCGUACCUUCGGGUAAUCAGCCUUUUGGGUGUGAUUUUGUGGAGCGUGAAGAGUUAAACGCCUUCAUGCCUGCAUAUUCGUGCACUUUGGGUGUACUUGCCCGUAUGGUUGGUUAACAUCAAUUUUGGUGGUCAUAAAAUGACUGGAGGAAUGUAGCUUCGAUCUUGUAUUGAAGUGUUAUAGCCUUCGGUAGAUGUGAUGAUCGAGAUUGAGGAUUGCAACGGAUACCCUUCGGGGCUACCUGUCUGGUCUCUGAUCGUUGCUCUGGUGCCGAAAGCUUGCUUACGGUUAUCAAAGUCGAUGGUCAAUAGGUUAGAACGGGUUAAAUUCGUUAAGGAUGUUGACGUAAUGG